AAAACGGAGAGUUUGAUCCUGGCUCAGGAUGAACGCUGGCGGUAUGCUUAACACAUGCAAGUCGAACGGUCUCUUCGGAGAUAGUGGCGGACGGGUGAGUAACGCGUGAGAAUCUAGCUUCGGGUCGGGGACAACCACGGGAAACUGUGGCUAAUACCGGAUAUGCCGAGAGGUGAAAGGCUAGCUGCCUGAAGAUGAGCUCGCGUCUGAU
This 211-nucleotide ribosomal RNA is filed under the name Nodularia spumigena CENA596. Its description in RNAcentral is "partial 16S ribosomal RNA". It matches the Rfam family "Bacterial small subunit ribosomal RNA", at positions 1 to 241 of the family's 1533-position model. The record is from RNAcentral. Lineage: Bacteria; Bacillati; Cyanobacteriota; Cyanophyceae; Nostocales; Nodulariaceae.